Molecule: ribosomal RNA, 863 nt
Filed under: uncultured crenarchaeote
Lineage: Archaea; Thermoproteati; Thermoproteota
Description: bacterial SSU rRNA
Rfam family: Archaeal small subunit ribosomal RNA
Source: RNAcentral
CUAUCAGAGUGAGAUUAAGCCAUGCGAGUCAACGUAGCAAUACGUGGCACACGGCUCAGUAACACGUAGUCAACAUAACCAAAGGACGUGGAUAAACUCGGGAAACUGAGGCUAAACCGCGAUAGAUCAAGAUACCUGGAAUGGUUUUUGAUCGAAAUCUAUAUGGCCUUUGGAUUGGACUGCGUCCGAUCAGGCUGUUGGUGAGGUAAUGGCCCACCAAACCUGUAACCGGUACGGGCUCUGAGAGGAGGAGCCCGGAGAUGGGUACUGAGAAAAGGACCCAGGCCCUAUGGGGCGCAGCAGGCGCGAAACCUCUGCAAUAGGCGGAAGCCUGACAGGGUUACUCUGAGUGACUUUCGCUAAGAAAGUCUUUUGACACCUCUAAAAAUGGUGUAGAAUAAGGGGUGGGCAAGUCUGGUGUCAGCCGCCGCGGUAAUACCAGCACCCCGAGUGGUCGGGACGAUUAUUGGGCCUAAAGCAUCCGUAGCCGGUUUUACAAGUCCUCCGUUAAAUCCAGCUGCUUAACAGAUGGGCUGCGGAGGAUACUAUAAGACUAGGAGGCAGGAGAGGCAAGCGGUACUCAGUGGGUAGGGGUAAAAUCCGUUGAUCCAUUGAAGGCCACCAGUGGCGAAGGCGGCUUGCCAGAAUGCGCUCGACGGUGAGGGAUGAAAGCUGGGGGAGCAAACCGGAUUAGAUACCCGGGUAGUCCCAGCUGUAAACGAUGCAGACUCGGUGAUGGACUAGCUUUAUGCUAGUCCAGUGCCGCAGGGAAGCCGUUAAGUCUGCCGCCUGGGUAGUACGGUCGCAAGACUGAAACUUAAAGGAAUUGGCGGGGGAGCACCACAAGGGGUGAAGCCUGCGGU